RNAcentral lists this ribosomal RNA (328 nucleotides) under uncultured bacterium. RNAcentral describes it as "bacterial SSU rRNA". It matches the Rfam family "Bacterial small subunit ribosomal RNA", at positions 67 to 412 of the family's 1533-position model. The record is from RNAcentral.
CGGAGAAUUGCUAGCUUGCUAAUAAUUCUCUAGUGGCGCACGGGUGAGUAACACGUGAGUACCUGCCCCCGAGAGCAGGAUAGCCCUGGGAAACUGGGAUUAAUACCGCAUAGUGAAAUAAAGCAGCAAUGCGCUUGGGGAUGGGCUCGCGGCCUAUUAGUUAGUUGGUGAGGUAACGGCUCACCAAGGCGAUGACGGGUAGCCGGUCUGAGAGGAUGUCCGGCCACACUGGAACUGAGACACGGUCCAGACACCUACGGGUGGCAGCAGUCGAGAAUCAUUCACAAUGGGGGAAACCCUGAUGGUGCGACGCCGCGUGGGGGAUAAG